This 477-nucleotide ribosomal RNA is filed under the name uncultured organism. RNAcentral's name for it is "partial 16S ribosomal RNA". It matches the Rfam family "Bacterial small subunit ribosomal RNA", at positions 333 to 801 of the family's 1533-position model. The record is from RNAcentral.
ACACUCCUGCGGGAGGCAGCAGUGGGGAAUUUUGGACAAUGGGCGAAAGCCUGAUCCAGCAAUGCCGCGUGAGUGAAGAAGGCCUUCGGGUUGUAAAGCUCUUUUGUCAGGGAAGAAACGGUGAGAGCUAAUAUCUCUUGCUAAUGACGGUACCUGAAGAAUAAGCACCGGCUAACUACGUGCCAGCAGCCGCGGUAAUACGUAGGGUGCAAGCGUUAAUCGGAAUUACUGGGCGUAAAGCGUGCGCAGGCGGUUUUGUAAGUCUGAUGUGAAAUCCCCGGGCUCAACCUGGGAAUUGCAUUGGAGACUGCAAGGCUAGAAUCUGGCAGAGGGGGGUAGAAUUCCACGUGUAGCAGUGAAAUGCGUAGAUAUGUGGAGGAACACCGAUGGCGAAGGCAGCCCCCUGGGUCAAGAUUGACGCUCAUGCACGAAAGCGUGGGGAGCAAACAGGAUUAGAAACCCCGGUAGUCCCAUGAU